UACGUAGGCAGCAAGCGUUGUUCGGAGUUACUGGGCGUAAAGGGUGUGUAGGCGGUUGUUUAAGUUUGGUGUGAAAUCUCCCGGCUCAACUGGGAGGGUGCGCCGAAUACUGAAUGACUCGAGUGUGGGAGAGGUGAGUGGAAUUCCUGGUGUAGCGGUGAAAUGCGUAGAUAUCAGGAGGAACACCGGUGGUGUAGACGGCUCACUGGACCAUGACUGACGCUGAGACACGAAAGCGUGGGUAGCAAACAGG
Molecule: ribosomal RNA, 253 nt
Filed under: uncultured prokaryote
Description: partial 16S ribosomal RNA
Rfam family: Bacterial small subunit ribosomal RNA
Source: RNAcentral